AGUCGACGAUGAAUCUUCUAGCUUGCUAGAAGUGGAUUAGUGGCGCACGGGUGAGUAAUGCAUAGGUUAUGUGCCCUUUAGUCUGGGAUAGCCACUGGAAACGGUGAUUAAUACUGGAUACUCCCUACGGGGGAAAGUUUUUCGCUAAAGGAUCAGCCUAUGUCCUAUCAGCUUGUUGGUGAGGUAAUGGCUCACCAAGGCUAUGACGGGUAUCCGGCCUGAGAGGGUGAUCGGACACACUGGAACUGAGACACGGUCCAGACUCCUACGGGAGGCAGCAGUAGGGAAUAUUGCUCAAUGGGGGAAACCCUGAAGCAGCAACGCCGCGUGGAGGAUGAAGGUUUUAGGAUUGUAAACUCCUUUUGUUAGAGAAGAUUAUGACGGUAUCUAACGAAUAAGCACCGGCUAACUCCGUGCCAGCAGCCGCGGUAAUACGGAGGGUGCAAGCGUUACUCGGAAUCACUGGGCGUAAAGAGUGCGUAGGCGGGGUAAUAAGUCAGAUGUGAGAUCCUGUAGCUUAACUACAGAACUGCAUUUGAAACUGUUACUCUGGAGUGUGGGAGAGGUAGGUGGAAUUCUUGGUGUAGGGGCAAAAUCCGUAGAGAUCAAGAGGAAUACUCAUUGCGAAGGCGACCUGCUGGAACAUUACUGACGCUGAUGCACGAAAGCGUGGGGAGCAAUCAGGAUUACAUACCCUGGUAGUCCACGCCCUAAACGAUGGAUGGUAGUUGUUGCCUUGCUUGUCAGGGCAGUAAUGCAGCUAACGCAUUAAGCAUCCCGCCUGGGGAGUACGGUCGCAAGAUUAAAACUCAAAGGAAUAGACGGGGACCCGCACAAGCGGUGGAGCAUGUGGUUUAAUUCGAAGAUACGCGAAGAACCUUACCUAGGCUUGACAUUG
Molecule: ribosomal RNA, 898 nt
Filed under: uncultured bacterium
Lineage: Bacteria
Description: bacterial SSU rRNA
Rfam family: Bacterial small subunit ribosomal RNA
Source: RNAcentral